AUUGAACGCUGGCGGCAGGCUUAACACAUGCAAGUCGAGCGGUAGCACAGGGGAGCUUGCUCCCUGGGUGACGAGCGGCGGACGUGUGAGUAAUGUCUGGGAAACUGCCUGAUGGAGGGGGAUAACUACUGGAAACGGUAGCUAAUACCGCAUAACGUCGCAAGACCAAAGAGGGGGACCUUCGGGCCUCUUGCCAUCAGAUGUGCCCAGAUGGGAUUAGCUAGUAGGUGGGGUAAUGGCUCACCUAGGCGACGAUCCCUAGCUGGUCUGAGAGGAUGACCAGCCACACUGGAACUGAGACACGGUCCAGACUCCUACGGGAGGCAGCAGUGGGGAAUAUUGCACAAUGGGCGCAAGCCUGAUGCAGCCAUGCCGCGUGUGUGAAGAAGGCCUUCGGGUUGUAAAGCACUUUCAGCGAGGAGGAAGGUGGUGAGCUUAAUACGUUCAUCAAUUGACGUUACUCGCAGAAGAAGCACCGGCUAACUCCGUG
Molecule: ribosomal RNA, 490 nt
Filed under: uncultured bacterium
Lineage: Bacteria
Description: partial 16S ribosomal RNA
Rfam family: Bacterial small subunit ribosomal RNA
Source: RNAcentral